Molecule: ribosomal RNA, 482 nt
Filed under: uncultured bacterium
Lineage: Bacteria
Description: partial 16S ribosomal RNA
Rfam family: Bacterial small subunit ribosomal RNA
Source: RNAcentral
AUUGAACGCUGGCGGCAUGCCUUACACAUGCAAGUCGAACGGUAACGGGCCUUCGGGUGCCGACGAGUGGCGAACGGGUGAGUAAUACAUCGGAACGUGCCCGAUCGUGGGGGAUAACGAGGCGAAAGCUUUGCUAAUACCGCAUACGAUCUACGGAUGAAAGCAGGGGACCGCAAGGCCUUGCGCGGACGGAGCGGCCGAUGGCAGAUUAGGGAGUUGGUGGGAGAAAAGCUUACCAAGCCGACGAUCUGUAGCUGGUCUGAGAGGAUGAUCAGCCACACUGGGACUGAGACACGGCCCAGACUCCUACGGGAGGCAGCAGUGGGGAAUUUUGGACAAUGGGCGCAAGCCUGAUCCAGCCAUGCCGCGUGCAGGAUGAAGGCCUUCGGGUUGUAAACUGCUUUUGUACGGAACGAAAAGCCUUCUUUUAAUACAGGAGGGUCAUGACGGUACCGUAAGAAUAAGCACCGGCUAACUACGUG